RNAcentral lists this ribosomal RNA (497 nucleotides) under uncultured bacterium. RNAcentral's name for it is "partial 16S ribosomal RNA". It matches the Rfam family "Bacterial small subunit ribosomal RNA", at positions 28 to 507 of the family's 1533-position model. The record is from RNAcentral.
GAUGAACGCUGGCGGCGUGCCUAAUACAUGCAAGUCGAGCGAACAGACGCGGAGCUUGCUCCUCUGACGUUAGCGGCGGACGGGUGAGUAACACGUGGAUACCCUACCUAUCAGACUGGGAUAACUUCGGGAAACCGGAGCUAAUACCGGAUAAUAUAUUGAACCGCAUGGUUCGAUAGUGAAAGACGGUUUUGCUGUCACUUAUAGAUGGAUCCGCGCCGCAUUAGCUAGUUGGUAAGGUAACGGCUUACCAAGGCGACGAUGCGUAGCCGACCUGAGAGGGUGGUCGGCCACACUGGAACUGAGACACGGUCCAGACGCCUACGGGAGGCAGCAGUAGGGAAUCUGCCGCAAAGGGCGAAAGCCUGACGGAGUAACGCCGCGUGAGUGACGAAGGUCCCCGGAGCGGAAAACUCUGUUAUGAGUGAAGAACAAAUGUGGAAGGAACUAUGCACGGCUUGACGGUACCGAAUCAGAAAGCCACGGCUAACUACGUG